UUGCAGGCUGAAACCCGCCCUGUAUGAAGUUGGAAUCGCUAGUAAUCGCGGAUCAGCAUGCCGCGGUGAAUACGUUCCCGGGCCUUGUACACACCGCCCGUCACACCAUGAGAGUCGGGAACACCCGAAGUCCGUAGUCUAACCGCAAGGGGGACGCGGCCGAAGGUGGGUUCGAUAAUUGGGGUGAAGUCGUAACAAGGUAAC
This 204-nucleotide ribosomal RNA is filed under the name uncultured bacterium. RNAcentral describes it as "partial 16S ribosomal RNA". It matches the Rfam family "Bacterial small subunit ribosomal RNA", at positions 1298 to 1500 of the family's 1533-position model. The record is from RNAcentral.